ACAGGCCCUCCUGCGCUACCAAAGCAGAAGGAAAAUGAUUGGAAACAGCGUGCCUUGUCACACUCACACCUCUGAAGCAAGCGGGUCUGGGAGAGGAGUUCUCUGCCCAGAGCAACCCAACCACAGCCAUGGCAGUCCAGCUGUGGCCUUGCUUGCCCCCGGAGCAUAAGACAGGUUACUUCCAUCUCCUUCCUGCGCUACCAUGCCAGUCGUGAUUGGGAGCAGAAAAGCAGCGGCCUGGAACUUUGGAAUCCUAAAAUGAUGCCAAAUCAUUCCCUACUGGGGAGGGCGACAAACAGCAGAGUCACAGAACUAUCAAAAUAGGAAGCCCAGAGCCCACAAGGGGAACUGCGGGCGGAAAGGAACUCUGCCCUCCCCCUCAGUGUAUGCCUGUCCUCCCACAGCCUGCUGGGGCUCAGAGUGGCUGAUGGCAUCCCGACUCUCAGCUUCGACUGAGGCCGAGCAGACGUCCCAGUUCCAGGUUUCCGGGCCACACUCCUCCAACCACGGCCACACCUUUCACACGAGAAACACAGAGAGGCUGGGAAUUCAGUGGACUUUGGGAUUCUGUAACCCGCACCGAUAAACUUGUGUUUAAUUUUCACCACGAGGAACCCUUGCAGUCUUCAGAGCCGUCGUUACCGCCGUGACAGUACAGCAGCCACGCCGGCUCCUCAGGGCUUCCCGCAGGUGGCCCUUCAUCCCGGUUCACUGCGGGUGACAGCCUGAUGAAGGAAGAGGUCCCCGCAGACCACGGGUGCUACGUACGCGCCCAGUUCCCAUUGGCAGGGAGCCCGAGCCCUGCCCUGGGGCCCAAGGGCGCGACCACACCCAUCCCCACAUCCCCACUUGGCGGGCCCCUCUUCUGAGACCACUCCCAGGUCCGACUCUGUAGCAGUCGGGCAGGAGAAGGAGACGAGAAAUAGACACGGUUUCUCAGCAGACGAAAUCGAAUACGAGCAUUUGGUGGCUCAGGGCCCGGAGGGCUGAAGAAACAGAUCGUAUGGCAGAAAGCUGCCGUCCCUAAGGCGAGGGGAAGCGGGGAAGAGGUCGGGCUGAGCAGACACCUAGACGCCAGGAUGAGGGGCCUGGAAGAGGCAGAGCCUGGAUCUCUGAGGAGGGGCUGCCACAAUUUCUCAGGGAAGGCGGAAGCAACCUUAUCCACCACGAGGGGAUAUGGGGCAGGAGAUGAUUUCUGAGGACCAUCUUCCAGGCCAUUGAAGACUUGGGGAGGUGGAGUAGCUUUCUAUCACAAUAACGCAAACAACGCGUAGAUAUCCACGAGCGCCGCUCUCUGAUCUCCUGAGAAAUCAAAGGUAAUGCCAGUCUGGGUUUUGAAGUCCCCCCCGCCCCGCCCCACCCCAGUUAAGCACAAGAGGGGAAG
Molecule: long non-coding RNA, 1384 nt
Organism: Prionailurus viverrinus (fishing cat)
Lineage: Eukaryota; Metazoa; Chordata; Mammalia; Carnivora; Felidae
Exons: 3
Source: RefSeq, a predicted model, not a curated record